RNAcentral lists this ribosomal RNA (47 nucleotides) under Russula betularum. RNAcentral's name for it is "partial 25S large subunit ribosomal RNA". The record is from RNAcentral. Lineage: Eukaryota; Fungi; Basidiomycota; Agaricomycetes; Russulales; Russulaceae. RNAcentral also lists the same sequence under 1 other name.
CCUUGACCUCAAAUCGGGUGAGACUACCCGCUGAACUUAAGCAUAUA